Molecule: ribosomal RNA, 250 nt
Filed under: uncultured prokaryote
Description: partial 16S ribosomal RNA
Rfam family: Bacterial small subunit ribosomal RNA
Source: RNAcentral
UACGGGGGAUGCGAGCGUUGUCCGGAAUCAUUGGGCGUAAAGAGUUCGUAGGUGGUUUGUUAAGUUAGGUGUUAAAUGCAAAGGCUCAACCUUUGUUUGGCACUUGAUACUGGCAGACUUGAAUGCGGUAGAGGUAAAGGGAAUUCCUGGUGUAGCGGUGAAAUGCGUAGAUAUCAGGAGGAACAUCGGUGGCGAAAGCGCUUUACUGGGCCGUAAUUGACACUGAGGAACGAAAGCCAGGGUAGCAAAU